RNAcentral lists this ribosomal RNA (400 nucleotides) under phytoplankton environmental sample. Its description in RNAcentral is "partial small subunit ribosomal RNA". It matches the Rfam family "Eukaryotic small subunit ribosomal RNA", at positions 587 to 991 of the family's 1831-position model. The record is from RNAcentral.
AGCUCCAAUAGCGUAUAUUAAAGUUGUUGCGGUUAAAAAGCUCGUAGUUGGAUUUUUGAGCUUGAACGAUUGGUCCAGAUUAUCUGCGUACUGAUGGUUCGGUUCUUCUGUCUGGAGACUGGUGGUAGUCGCUUAGAUGAGGCGCUGCCAGGAUCUAGGACUUUUACUUUGAACAAAUUAGAGUGUUUAAAGCAGGCCUACGCCUUGAAUACAUUAGCAUGGAAUAACGUAUAGGACUUUGGUUCUAUUUUGUUGGUUUUAAGGACCAAAGUAAUGAUUAAUAGGGACAGUUGGGGGCAUUAAUAUUUAAUUGUCAGAGGUGAAAUUCUUAGAUUUAUGAAAGAUUAACUUCUGCGAAAGCAUUUGCCAAGGAUGUUUUCAUUAAUCAAGAACGAAAGUA